Molecule: long non-coding RNA, 460 nt
Organism: Oreochromis niloticus (Nile tilapia)
Lineage: Eukaryota; Metazoa; Chordata; Actinopteri; Cichliformes; Cichlidae
Exons: 2
Source: RefSeq, a predicted model, not a curated record
UGAAAAAACACCAACAGAUCCACACCAGAAAGUAAACUCUACAAGUGCAGUUACUGUGAGAAGUGGAGCAAAGCACAUGGAUCCACUUCUCAACCCUGUCGUCACUGUGGUGGUGGGAAAGAGUUUCUCUGUGACCUUUGUAGAAAAACUUCCAAUCAUCAACGGGACCAAAAAACCACAUCAACAUAGCCACACUGGAGACAAAAUGAACUACUGCAAAGAAUGUGGGAGAGACUUCCACACACCAAGUACAUUAAAAAUACAUGAACUCUUCUACAGUGGGGUCAAAAAGCACAUCUGUGACCAGUGUGGGUCAUCCUUCACCACUGGACAUGAGCUCAAUGAAAAAGCAUAAGCGAAUCCACACAGGAGAGACACCAUACAAGUGCAGACACUGUGACAAAAGCUUCUCACAAUCAGGUCAUCGUAACAAACAUGAACGUACACACAUGGAAGUGAA